This 74-nucleotide transfer RNA is filed under the name Anabaenopsis arnoldii. RNAcentral's name for it is "tRNA-Arg". It matches the Rfam family "tRNA". Rfam says of the family: Transfer RNA (tRNA) molecules are approximately 80 nucleotides in length. Their secondary structure includes four short double-helical elements and three loops (D, anti-codon, and T loops). Lineage: Bacteria; Bacillati; Cyanobacteriota; Cyanophyceae; Nostocales; Nodulariaceae. The record is from RNAcentral. RNAcentral also lists the same sequence under 2 other names.
GGGUGUGUAGCUCAGCGGACUAGAGCACGUGGCUACGGACCACGGUGUCGGGGGUUCGAAUCCCUCCUCGCCCG